Molecule: long non-coding RNA, 816 nt
Filed under: Physcomitrium patens
Lineage: Eukaryota; Viridiplantae; Streptophyta; Bryopsida; Funariales; Funariaceae
Description: long non-coding RNA (PPAT_LNC011203)
Source: RNAcentral
UAUUCUUCAAGCAUAACUCCUUCAUUCUUAUAAUUACUUUUUUUACAUCUUUAGAUCUUCUUUUUAGCUAUCGAAUUUGAAAUACAAGAAGUUCCUUCCUAGACAUAUUGUCUUGUGAAGGUAAGAUACUCUAAGUGGUUAUUUACUCUUCAAUUGGCAUAAUGGGCUUCUGUCCUUGCAUUAACUCUACUGACAUAUAUCAUGUCACUAAACUAUGAAUAAUACAAUCAGUCCAAAGAGCAAAUAGUAAUAAUCUUUGUCAUUCUCUUGCUCUUCCUUUGCAAGCUUUAAUAAUGGCUUUUACAAUAGGAGCGUGACCUCACUCAUUCUUAGCAUUGCCUUCUGAAUUAUAAGCUAUAGUAAGUACUAGUUUGACUCCAAAUCUUUCAAAGAACUGUCUAGUCUCAUGUACAUCCAAUUUUCCAUGAUCAACAGUAAUUUUUUCAAUACAUCCAUAUCUACAAACUACAUCUCCCAGUAAAAAUCUACAAAUUCCUUCACUGGAUUUUGUUCAUAGAGCUCUUCCUUCUACUUGGUUAGAUAAAUCUUCUCAUGCCAAAGCUAAGUACUAUAUUUGCUAUAUUCCCAUAAGCAUAGUAAUUAAGUCCACAACCCAUUUAUAAUGUAUUGAAAAUGGAUACGUGGGAUGUAAUCCAUCUCUAUGUUGAAUCUCUGAGUAUAUCUGAUAAGUCUCGCAUGAUUCCACAAACUUCACUACAUCUCUAUACAUAUUAUGCCACCAAUAUUUUUCUUUGAACUUGUUAAUGGUGGCAUAAAUACUUCUAUGUCCAACCUACAUACUAUUAUGGAAUUCAU